This 403-nucleotide ribosomal RNA is filed under the name uncultured Candidatus Saccharibacteria bacterium. RNAcentral's name for it is "bacterial SSU rRNA". It matches the Rfam family "Bacterial small subunit ribosomal RNA", at positions 356 to 774 of the family's 1533-position model. Lineage: Bacteria; Candidatus Saccharimonadota. The record is from RNAcentral.
AGGGAAUAUUGCUCAAUGGGCGAAAGCCUGAAGCAGCAACGCCGCGUGGAGGAUGAAGGUCUUCGGAUUGUAAACUCCUUUUCUAAGAGAAGAUUAUGACGGUAUCUUAGGAAUAAGCACCGGCUAACUCCGUGCCAGCAGCCGCGGUCAUACGUAGGGUGCAAGCAUUAUCCGGAGUGACUGGGCGUAAAGAGUUGCGUAGGCGGUUAGUAAAGCGAAUAGUGAAACCUGGUGGCUCAACCAUACAGACUAUUAUUCGAACUCACUAACUCGAGAAUGGUAGAGGUAACUGGAAUUUCUAGUGUAGGAGUGAAAUCCGUAGAUAUUAGAAGGAACACCAAUGGCGUAGGCAGGUUACUGGACCAUUUCUGACGCUAAGGCACGAAAGCGUGGGGAGCGAACC